UCCCAGACUCCUAAGGGCGGCAGCAGUGGGGCCUCUUCCGCAAUGGGCGCCAGCCUGACGGAGCAACGCCGCGUGAUCGAAUGAAGGCCUUCGGGUUGUAACGAUCUGUUGACAGGGACGAAUAAGCAAUGCGAAUAGUUUUGUGUAUGACGGUACCUGUUUAGAAAGCUCCGGCUAACUACGUGCCAGCAGCCGCGGUAAUACGUAGGGUGCGAGCGUUAAUCGGAAUUACUGGGCGUAAAGCGCUCGUAGGCGGUAUGGCAAGGCAAGGGUGAAAGCCCCGCGCGCAACGGGGGAACGGCCGGGGAAACGGGCAAACUGGAGGGGGGGAGAGGAGAGGGGAAGGCCAGGGGGAGGAGUGAAAGCCGGAGAUAUCGGGAGGAACAUCAGGGGCGAAGGCGACGAUCGGGCACAUAACUGACGCUGAGGAGCGAAAGCGGGGGUAGCAAACAGGAGUAGAGACCCCGGUA
This 470-nucleotide ribosomal RNA is filed under the name uncultured bacterium. Its description in RNAcentral is "bacterial SSU rRNA". It matches the Rfam family "Bacterial small subunit ribosomal RNA", at positions 329 to 792 of the family's 1533-position model. The record is from RNAcentral.